UGUUCCUCAAAGGUGGGCUCCCCGGCAGCACGGUGUCAGAGGGACACCCGUCCGCCGUCUACCGACGGCCCCGAGGUCAGGGGCUGCCCAGCCCCCCGCAGCCCGGUCGGUGGUGGCCACGCAUGUGCCGGGUGGCUGGCCCGCUGAGCUUGCCUGGCACCAGGCGCCCGGACAGCGUGCUCCUGGGCCUCGCCUGGGCCUGGGCCAGCCGACCCGCUGCUUCCGCUGGCCGCCGGGCGCUCCUCCGCUCCAGGCUUGCUCUGUCACCGCCCGCGUCCUCCUGGGCCCGGCGUCCGGCGGAGCUGCCCGCAGGCGUCGCCCGCUCUCCUGUCUCCGCAGGGCCCGCUGCUGCGCUGGCUCAAGGUGAACUUCAGCGAAGCCUUCGUCGCCUGGAUCCACCUCAAGGCGCUGCGGGUGUUUGUGGAGUCCGUGCUCAGGUACGGACUGCCCGUGAACUUCCAGGCGGUGCUCCUCCAGCCUCAUAAGAAGUCAUCCACCAAACGACUAAGGGAGGUUCUGAACUCCGUCUUCAGACACCUGGACCAAGUAGCGGCCGCAAGCAUACUGGAUGUAGGUGGAGAACCCAGAGAUAGCCGGGUUUCUGCACGGGGUCAGCCUCUCCGUGUGGGAGGCACUUUCCCAAAAUGGAAACUGCCAGACUGUUGAGAUGAUCUACGUUUCACAAAUGCGCAAGCGUAACAGGGAAGAGGCCGUGUGUGUGUGUGUGUGUGUGUGUGUGUGUGUGUGUGUGUGGCGGGGGUGUGCUGUGCAGAAAAUACGGUAGGGCCUAGAGAGCCGCCUCGAAAACAGAGACGAGACAGCAUAUUGGUUUCUGCAUUUAAAGCGCCAACAGGACGUCGUCUUUUGCAGGCAUCUGUGGAGAUCCCUGGACUGCAACUCAGCAACCAAGACUACUUUCCCUAUGUCUACUUCCACAUCGACCUCAGUCUCCUGGACUAGAGAGAGGAGCUGCCGCCAUCGCGCUCCUCUCUUCACUCAGGCUCCUGCAGACACCUCUCUCCCUCAGCCAGAGAACCCUACAGAACUUAGAUUUUUAGAGAAAUUGCUCACAAAAGUUAGUUACAGUUGUAUUUAUUUUUUUUAAGUUACAAUAAAGAAAUGCUCAGUCCCUUGGAUUGUCUCUUC
RNAcentral lists this long non-coding RNA (1146 nucleotides) under Ursus americanus (American black bear). RNAcentral's name for it is "lncRNA (ENSUAMG00000002242.1)". Lineage: Eukaryota; Metazoa; Chordata; Mammalia; Carnivora; Ursidae. The record is from RNAcentral.